RNAcentral lists this long non-coding RNA (1278 nucleotides) under Brassica rapa (field mustard). Its description in RNAcentral is "long non-coding RNA (BRAP_LNC001671)". The record is from RNAcentral. Lineage: Eukaryota; Viridiplantae; Streptophyta; Magnoliopsida; Brassicales; Brassicaceae.
UUUUUUAGCUGACAAAACAAAGCCAGUCCUCUCUGUUACACGAGGGGAGCCACUAUAUUCCAAGAAACGUUUAUUUGAACUCUGACUAUUUCUCUAAGAAAAUUGAAUCUAAUUCGACCAUUCCAUCAGUUUCUGUAAGUUGUCAAACACUUUGAACUUAAACGUUAUUCAAUGUUAGGCUGACUUUAAUAUUCCAUUUAAGAUUUGAGUUGAUUUUCGGUUUUCUAUAGGUUUUAACUAUUUUACAUCCAUUUUAAAAGAUAAAGAUAAGAGAGAAAGGAAAGUGGAGAGAGAGAGAAAAGAGAGAAAAGCGAGAUCUAGUUUGGGGUUCGGCGCGCGGCCGGCGCGUGAGCGUCCGUGCCGGCGCCGGAGCCUCUGUUUUGUCCUUCUUAGUGUCUCUCCUUCGCUCUUCUUCGCCGUCCUGUCAACGACUGCCUUGUCCGAACUCUGGAUUCGACAUCACCGCUUACGGUGGUCUCGGUCUUGGAGCAACGACGCUCUCGUCGGGAGGGUCCUGGUGGUAGAAGUGGCAUGCAUGUUCAGUGGUGGUUUUUUUCCGGGAGGUGGAGGCUUUCGUAGAUCCACCGCCGCCGGCUCUAGUUCCCGGGAAGGGAGUCUUCAUUAGAUUUGCCUUCGCCGGCUCUAGUUUUGGAGAGCGGAGGCUAGCACAGCUCCGCGCUGCCACUUAGGAUCCCGCGGUUCUUUGGGAAAAGUUUUCUAGUUUAGUUUUGUUUCAUGGUCGGCGUAGUUGUCGGUAAGUCUUGGGUGGGGUCACUGCGGUUGAGUUCUUGGUAGAAGACAAGGGUCGCCGGUGAGGUGAUGUUUCACAAGGAAAGGAAGAGAUGGUGUCUUGGGUCGCGUGUCUUGGGUUUGAAGUAUGAUAAAGGCGGAGGAGAUCUCGAAGAUCGAUUGAUCUCUCCGGCGGGAUGACACGGCGGUGAAGUAGGGAUUUGCGUUUGUUUGGAGGCUUGUCUGGUUUCGAGCUCCGUCUAACAAGGUUCUCGCGGGUGGUUGUUUCCGGUGGCGUAAAGGCGGAGGUGAUCAAGUCGAGGCGGUGUCGACGUGUUUCGCGUCAAUGGAGCAGAUCACUCCACGUGUCGAGCCGCCUCCUUGAUGCGCUUGCCAGCGGGCCGGGUGGUUUCUUAGGGUGGGCCGAGGGCCUGUUUUAGUUUUUAUUUUGCCCCAGAGGUUUGGGCUUGCGUUUGUUUUCGUUGUAAUCGGGCUUCGGCCUUGUUUGGGCUUGGCCCUUUCAUCUUAUAAUAUCAAAACUUUGGCGGA